Small nucleolar RNA from Mangifera indica (mango), 91 nucleotides. RefSeq annotates it as small nucleolar RNA R24. The transcript has a single exon. The record is from RefSeq and is a predicted model, not a curated record. Lineage: Eukaryota; Viridiplantae; Streptophyta; Magnoliopsida; Sapindales; Anacardiaceae.
CUUGCAGUGAUGAAGCACCAACUUGUAAGAAGAAACCUAACUUAUGGUUUCUUCCGUGAAAUACACAAGUUACGCUUGGCUUCUGAGCUCC